AUUGAACGCUGGCGGCAGGCAUAACACAUGCAAGUCGAGCGAGCGGCGGACGGGUGAGUAAUGUCUGGGAAACUGCCUGAUGGAGGGGGAUAACUACUGGAAACGGUAGCUAAUACCGCAUACCAUCAGAUGUGCCCAGAUGGGAUUAGUUAGUAGGUGGGGUAACGGCUCCCCUAGGCGACGAUGCCUAGCUGGUCUGCGAGGAUGACCAGCCACACUGGAACGGAGACACGGUCCAGAACCCUACGGGAGGCAGCAGUGGGGAAUAUUGCACAAUGGGCGCAAGCCUGGUUCGGCCAUGCCGCGUGUGGGAAGAAGGCCGUCGGGUUGUAAAGCACUUUCAGCGGGAAGGCGUUACCCGCAGAAGAAGCACCGGCUAACUCCGUGCCAGCAGCCGCGGUAAUAC
Molecule: ribosomal RNA, 406 nt
Filed under: uncultured bacterium
Lineage: Bacteria
Description: partial 16S ribosomal RNA
Rfam family: Bacterial small subunit ribosomal RNA
Source: RNAcentral